Molecule: ribosomal RNA, 305 nt
Filed under: uncultured bacterium
Lineage: Bacteria
Description: bacterial SSU rRNA
Rfam family: Bacterial small subunit ribosomal RNA
Source: RNAcentral
CUAAACCUACGGGGGGCAGCAGUGGGGAAUAUUGGACAAUGGGGGGAACCCUGAUCCAGCGACGCCGCGUGAGUGAAGAAGUAUUUCGGUAUGUAAAGCCCUAUCAGCAGGGAAGAAAGUGACGGUACCUGACUAAGAAGCCCCGGCUAACUACGUGCCAGCAGCCGCGGUAAUACGUAGGGGGCAAGCGUUAUCCGGAUUUACUGGGUGUAAAGGGAGCGUAGACGGGCCAGCAAGUCUGAUGUGAAAACCCGGGGCCCAACCCCGGGAGUGCAUUGGAAACUGCGGGCCUGGAGUGCCGGAGG